Molecule: ribosomal RNA, 404 nt
Filed under: uncultured Bacillota bacterium
Lineage: Bacteria; Bacillati; Bacillota
Description: bacterial SSU rRNA
Rfam family: Bacterial small subunit ribosomal RNA
Source: RNAcentral
AAAGUCUGAUGGAGCAACGCCGCGUGAGUGAUGAAGGUUUUCGGAUCGUAAAACUCUGUUGUAAGGGAAGAACCAGUAUGUCAGGCAAUGGACGUACCUUGACGGUACCUUAUUAGAAAGCCACGGCUAACUACGUGCCAGCAGCCGCGGUAAUACGUAGGUGGCGAGCGUUGUCCGGAAUUACUGGGCGUAAAGGGUGUGCAGGCGGAUAUUUAAGUGAGAUGUGAAAGACCCGGGCUUAACCCGGGCAGUGCAUUUCAAACUGGAUAUCUAGAGUGCAGGAGAGGAGAACGGAAUUCCUAGUGUAGCGGUGAAAUGCGUAGAGAUUAGGAAGAACACCAGUGGCGAAGGCGGUUCUCUGGACUGUAACUGACGCUGAGGCACGAAAGCGUGGGUAGCAAACA